Molecule: small nuclear RNA, 131 nt
Organism: Ochotona princeps (American pika)
Lineage: Eukaryota; Metazoa; Chordata; Mammalia; Lagomorpha; Ochotonidae
Gene: U4
Rfam family: U4 spliceosomal RNA
About the family: U4 small nuclear RNA (U4 snRNA) is a component of the major U2-dependent spliceosome.
Source: Ensembl
AGCUUUGUGCAGUGGCAGUAUCAUAGCCAAUGAGGUUUAUCCGAGGUGUGAUUAUUGCUAAUUGAAACCAACCCCCCUUAGGAACUCGGAUUCUGAAUAAGGUUCCUGCGAAGAAGUAGGACUGCUGAGUC